AUUGAACGCUGGCGGCAGGCCUAACACAUGCAAGUCGAGCGGAUGAAGGGAGCUUGCUCCUGGAUUCAGCGGCGGACGGGUGAGUAAUGCCUAGGAAUCUGCCUGGUAGUGGGGGAUAACGUCCGGAAACGGGCGCUAAUACCGCAUACGUCCUGAGGGAGAAAGUGGGGGAUCUUCGGACCUCACGCUAUCAGAUGAGCCUAGGUCGGAUUAGCUAGUUGGUGGGGUAAAGGCCUACCAAGGCGACGAUCCGUAACUGGUCUGAGAGGAUGAUCAGUCACACUGGAACUGAGACACGUUCCAGACUCCUACGGGAGGCAGCAGUGGGGAAUAUUGGACAAUGGGCGAAAGCCUGAUCCAGCCAUGCCGCGUGUGUGAAGAAGGUCUUCGGGUUGUAAAGCACUUUAAGUUGGGAGGAAGGGCAGUAAGUUAAUACCUUGCUGUUUUGACGUUACCAACAGAAUAAGCACCGGCUAACUUCGUG
This 484-nucleotide ribosomal RNA is filed under the name uncultured bacterium. Its description in RNAcentral is "partial 16S ribosomal RNA". It matches the Rfam family "Bacterial small subunit ribosomal RNA", at positions 30 to 507 of the family's 1533-position model. The record is from RNAcentral.